AAAAAAAAAAAAGCGUGGGGAAUCUGCCUUUGAGCUGUGGACAACAUUUGGAAACGAAUGCUAAUACCGCAUACAAACUUUAAACACAAGUUUUAAGUUUGAAAGAUGCAAUUUCAUCACUCAAAGAUGAUCCCGCGUUGUAUUAGCUAGUUUGUGAGGUAAAGGCUCACCAAGGCGAUGAUACAUAGCCGACCUGAGAGGGUGAUCGGCAACAUUGGGACAGAGAAAAGGCACAAAUUCAUACGGGAGGCAGCAGUAGGGAAUCUGCGGCGAUGAACGAAAGUGUGACCGAGCAACGCAGCGUGAGUGAAGAAGGUUUUUUUAUUUUU
RNAcentral lists this ribosomal RNA (329 nucleotides) under uncultured bacterium. RNAcentral's name for it is "partial 16S ribosomal RNA". It matches the Rfam family "Bacterial small subunit ribosomal RNA", at positions 100 to 427 of the family's 1533-position model. The record is from RNAcentral.